CAAAUCACUACGAACUGCCUUGAGAAGUCUGAAGACGUCUCCAUCACAAUGAUUUGAGCACAUGAGAAAAUCGCUAGACGAAACAGGGAAAACAUGGACACCAGACAGGUUGGAGAUAAGACAAGAGCGGAUAGGAACCAAGACUGAUUCAACAGCCAAGUGAGGAGAAAAUUGGUGGAAAAAAGGGUCACAGGAUGCAAAUGCAAAUCACACUUUCCUUGUCUACUUGCUGCUCCAGGGGACGGCAAUACUAUCCACUUGUCAAUUUUCUUUUCAGCAGAACAGACAUAUCCUUGUGGCUACUGACUAGGCCACGAAGAAACUUCUCACUAAUUGUUGGGGCACAGAGCCUUUCAACCUAGCACAUGUUGCACACGCACUGAAAGAGUAAUCAAAUUUCAGGAAACAUAUUCUAAGCUGGAUUAACAUAAUUUCAUAUAUGAUCAUGUCUACUAGGUUAUGCAGUAUUAUUCCACUAAAACAACAGAAAUGUGCAUGAUUGAACCUCUGCACGUCAAUCAACAUUGGUAGUGUGAUGCUGAACAACAAAUAUGGAGAAUGUGGAGAUAAGGACAAUUACCUCCAGUUCAAAACUCCCAUAAUAAUAUCUGGCAUAUGUAGUGUGAUGCUGAACAAUAAAUAUGGAGAAUGUGGAGAUAUGGACAAUUAC
This 670-nucleotide long non-coding RNA is filed under the name Setaria viridis. Its description in RNAcentral is "long non-coding RNA (SVIR_LNC008908)". Lineage: Eukaryota; Viridiplantae; Streptophyta; Magnoliopsida; Poales; Poaceae. The record is from RNAcentral.